UACGUAGGGUGCUAGCGUUGUCCGGAUUUAUUGGGCGUAAAGGGCUCGUAGGCGGCGUGUCGCGUCGGGAGUGAAAGCCCGCUGCUUAACGGCGGGUUGGCUUCCGGUACGAGCAUCGCUGGAGUGCGGCAGGGGAGACUGGAAUUCCUGGUGUAGCGGUGGAAUGCGCAGAUAUCAGGAGGAACACCGGUGGCGAAGGCGGGUCUCUGGGCCGUUACUGACGCUGAGGAGCGAAAGCGUGGGGAGCGAACAGG
This 254-nucleotide ribosomal RNA is filed under the name uncultured bacterium. Its description in RNAcentral is "partial 16S ribosomal RNA". It matches the Rfam family "Bacterial small subunit ribosomal RNA", at positions 524 to 776 of the family's 1533-position model. The record is from RNAcentral.